Long non-coding RNA from Corvus hawaiiensis (hawaiian crow), 499 nucleotides. RefSeq lists it as uncharacterized. The transcript is spliced from 4 exons. The record is from RefSeq and is a predicted model, not a curated record. NCBI's taxonomy places the organism in Eukaryota, Metazoa, Chordata, Aves, Passeriformes, Corvidae.
UUCUGCAUCUCAAUUAUUCUGUUGUCAAAUGAAAACAGGAUUUAGAUGACAGGACAAGAGGAAAUGGCCUCAAGUCGCAUCAGGGUACCAGAACUGGAUGUUUAGACUGGACAUUAGGAAGCAUUUCUUCACCAAGACGGAGACAGAUUUCCUUGAGAGGUGCUUGAUACCCCAAGCCUGUCAGUGUUUAAGAGGCAUUUGGACAGUGCCCUUAAGAAAAAGAUUCAAAGUGACUCUGCUGCACCUGAUCAUCUGUAAUGGGAUGAAUUUGCUCCUGUAGGAAUGAAAUUGCUCCUGAUCCUUGGUGAUGUGAAUGCUACUAACAUAACAUUUAAAGGCACUACUCAUAAGAUAAGAUCCAUGAGUCCUAGUGUCUCAGGGGACUGGAGAUACGGUUGAAAAAAGAAGGUGGGAUCAGAGGAAGACAAGGCCAAGUGGGAAAUGUCCAGCUCUGCUAUUGUUUUAGCCAUGCUCCAAUGGGGAAGACACAGAAAUCAGA